This 540-nucleotide ribosomal RNA is filed under the name uncultured bacterium. RNAcentral describes it as "bacterial SSU rRNA". It matches the Rfam family "Bacterial small subunit ribosomal RNA", at positions 355 to 911 of the family's 1533-position model. The record is from RNAcentral.
UUAGGAAUUUUGGGCAAUGGCCGCAAGGCUGACCCAGCAACGCCGCGUGGGGGACGAAGGCCUUCGGGUUGUAAACCCCUUUUCCCAGGGACGAUGAUGACGGUACCUGGGGAAUCAGCCCCGGCUAACUACGUGCCAGCAGCCGCGGUAAUACGUAGGGGGCAAGCGUUGUCCGGAUUCAUUGGGCGUAAAGCGCGUGCAGGCGGCUCGCUAAGUCGGCCGUGAAAGCUCCGGGCUCAACUCGGAGAGGUCGGGCGAGACUGGCGAGCUGGAGGCUGGCAGAGGGCGGUGGAAUUCCGGGUGUAGUGGUGGAAUGCGUAGAGCUCCGGAGGAACACCAGUGGCGAAGGCGGCCGCCUGGGCCAGGCCUGACGCUGAGACGCGAAAGCGUGGGGAGCGAUCCGGAUUAGAUACCCGGGUAGUCCACGCCGUAAACGAUGGGCACUAGCUGUCGGGGGUAUCGACCCCCUCGGUGGCGGAGCUAACGCAAUAAGUGCCCCGCCUGGGGAGUACGGCCGCAAGGCUAAAACUCAAAUGAAUU